UAGAGUAAUGCGUGACCAACCUGCCCCAUGCUCCAGAAUAGCUCUUGGAAACGGGUGGUAAUGCUGGAUGCUCCAACUUGACGCAUGUCUUGUUGGGAAAGUGUUUAGUGGCAUGGGAUGGGGUCGCGUCCUAUCAGCUUGUAGGCGGGGUAAUGGCCCACCUAGGCUUCGACGGGUAGCCGGCCUGAGAGGGCGGACGGCCACAUUGGGACUGAGAUACGGCCCAGACUCCUACGGGAGGCAGCAGAC
This 249-nucleotide ribosomal RNA is filed under the name uncultured Gardnerella sp. RNAcentral's name for it is "partial 16S ribosomal RNA". It matches the Rfam family "Bacterial small subunit ribosomal RNA", at positions 107 to 354 of the family's 1533-position model. Lineage: Bacteria; Bacillati; Actinomycetota; Actinomycetes; Bifidobacteriales; Bifidobacteriaceae. The record is from RNAcentral.